RNAcentral lists this ribosomal RNA (700 nucleotides) under uncultured bacterium. RNAcentral describes it as "bacterial SSU rRNA". It matches the Rfam family "Bacterial small subunit ribosomal RNA", at positions 94 to 828 of the family's 1533-position model. The record is from RNAcentral.
AGUGGCGGACGGGUGAGUAACGCGUAAGAAUCUAACUUCAGGACGGGGACAACAGUGGGAAACGACUGCUAAUACCCGAUGUGCCGCGAGGUGAAACCUAAUUGGCCUGAAGAAGAGCUUGCGUCUGAUUAGCUAGUUGGUGGGGUAAGAGCCUACCAAGGCGACGAUCAGUAGCUGGUCUGAGAGGAUGAGCAGCCACACUGGGACUGAGACACGGCCCAGACUCCUACGGGAGGCAGCAGUGGGGAAUUUUCCGCAAUGGGCGAAAGCCUGACGGAGCAACGCCGCGUGAGGGAGGAAGGUCUUUGGAUUGUAAACCUCUUUUCUCAAGGAAGAAGUUCUGACGGUACUUGAGGAAUCAGCCUCGGCUAACUCCGUGCCAGCAGCCGCGGUAAUACGGGGGAGGCGAGCGUUAUCCGGAAUUAUUGGGCGUAAAGCGUCCGCAGGUGGUCAGCCAAGUCUGCCGUCAAAUCAGGUUGCUUAACGACCUAAAGGCGGUGGAAACUGGCAGACUAGAGAGCAGUAGGGGUAGCAGGAAUUCCCAGUGUAGCGGUGAAAUGCGUAGAGAUUGGGAAGAACAUCGGUGGCGAAAGCGUGCUACUGGGCUGUAUCUGACACUCAGGGACGAAAGCUAGGGGAGCGAAAGGGAUUAGAUACCCCUGUAGUCCUAGCCGUAAACGAUGGAUACUAGGCGUGGCUU